RNAcentral lists this transfer RNA (75 nucleotides) under Desulforamulus ferrireducens. Its description in RNAcentral is "Desulfotomaculum ferrireducens tRNA-Arg". It matches the Rfam family "tRNA". From Rfam's summary of the family: Transfer RNA (tRNA) molecules are approximately 80 nucleotides in length. RNAcentral also lists the same sequence under 1 other name. Lineage: Bacteria; Bacillati; Bacillota; Clostridia; Eubacteriales; Peptococcaceae. The record is from RNAcentral.
GCGCCUAUAGCUCAGGGGAUAGAGCGCCGGCCUCCGGAGCCGGGUGCGCAGGUUCGAUUCCUGCUAGGCGCACCA